UGGACUGUGGCUCAGUGGUAGAGCACUUGCCUAGCAUGUGUGAGGCCCUGGGUUCAAUCCUCAGCACCACAU
Molecule: non-coding RNA, 72 nt
Organism: Ictidomys tridecemlineatus (thirteen-lined ground squirrel)
Lineage: Eukaryota; Metazoa; Chordata; Mammalia; Rodentia; Sciuridae
Source: Rfam